CACAAUAUACAACUACCCACCCUUUUCCACUAAUCAACUUAAUGUUUGUUUACAAUAAUUAUUACAGACCAAGAACUAAAUAAAAAAUUACAUGAAUAGAACAUAAAUUAAUCUAUAGGGAGUCUGAAGCAGGCCCAAAACAAUCAUGGUGUACCAAGCCUUUACUGAUCUCAAACGCCCAAAGUUCCAUAGCCCAAUUCAUGUCUAGGUGUGUCAGAGUUCCCUAAGGACCUCAAGGGUCCCGGGAAAUGCUCACACCCAGACUUUUCUCAAACAAAGAUUGAUUAUGUGCAGUGUGAAAGUGUCAACCCUGAUAUGCUAGAGUUCAGAGAGAUCUCAAGGGUCUCAAAGCAGUACCCUUAUCAGAGAGGCAGAACUUAGCAAUCUAAGAGUAAUGUGAGGGUGCAUAAUGAUUAGAAAGAGUUUGGUAAAUGAUAUAAAGAAGGUCUUAGGAAUGAAAAAAAUUUUCUGAAAACCUGUACUGGUUUGAAUGGAAAACAGUUUGAGAAAACAUGAAGAACAUGAAGAACAUGUUGGGAUCAGAGAACAAGUCACAGAAUGCACAGUUUCAGAACAAACUUCACACAAGGGAAAGGGGUAGGGGGACACCUAGAAUGCACCUUAGUGAUGGCAAACAAAUACACAGAUUCCUCAAGAAGGCAAAUUAGUUACAAAGAUAUGUUGAGAACACACAGGUCUUAGAACAAACAGGAUCUCAUUGGUGAAGUAGAGCAAGUUAGCCUUAGAUGCACAAACUAGACAAACACUUCAUAAAGCAUUCAAGGUUUUAGAAAUACUAAUCAUAUACAAAACAAGCAGAAUCUAGACAUGCUGGGUGAGAUAGUAAACACACAAUGCAACUUAGACAUACUAGUGAACAAGUUAUCUAAAGCAGUACUGGCAUGCUAAACAACAUACUAGUUAUAGCUUUUAACAGAACAGAUUUAAACAUGUUGUGUGAUACAGUAAUCUAGGCAUGUUGACUGCAUAUUGAACAAAGUAGCAAAUAGAACUGGAAAUCACAACUAAUGAACCGCAGCAACCAAGAAACACAUAGUUUUGGAAUGUGAAUUGAAUCAGGACAUACCGGUUAAGGAGAAAAUACAGAGUAUAGAGCAGAGAUGGUGCAAGUAGCCAGCCUUGGCUUAUAGUCGGUUGGAUUAGUAAGAAUUACAAGUAAUAGAAGAGAAUAGAAAGCUUUUGAGAGUGUGAGAGUGUAGAUGAACUAUAUGUUCAUGUGUGUUGAAGUGGGGAGUAAAGGAGGGCAUAUAUAGCAGUUAAGAAUAAAGAAAAAUAAGGUAAAAGGAAUCAACCCUUCUGCAAUUAAGGAAGUCUUAGAAUCAAUUAUACAUCAGUUAGUAUAAUUUUCCCUUAAUUAAGGGUAAUCAACCAACGGAAAGGCAGAACAUAUUUAAGGAAAGAAAAUUAAACGAGCAAUUAGGGGUAAAUAGACAGCAUUUUAAUUAAGGAAAUGAUUAGUAAAGAAUCAAUAAAUCAUGGUUAAUUGAACAAGGUAAGAAAGCUGUCACACCCCUUUUUUACCCCUCCAAAAAGAUAUGUGUGUUAUGGAAUAUGGGUUAAAUGAUUUUUCCAAUUAAAGUGACAAAUGUGAGUAGAGAUUAUUUUAUUUACAAAGUCGCCACUUGAAAUUGAUUUUGGGUGUUCCAAGUCACCUUUUUAUUUGAAUCCCUAAUCAAAGGAAGGUUUCUCUAUUUUUAUCGGUCUGCGAAAAAAAGUUCGGGUAAUGAAUUAUAUUGACCGGGGAGAAGCUGUAAGGCAUUCCCCGAGUCCCAUGGUUCUAGCACAGUCGCUUUAUUAACUACAUUUGGCUUAAAUUAAUUUUGGAUAAAACUGUGAUUUAUUUGAUUUUUAUGCUUUUCUUAUGUCCAGUUUUAUUUAUAAAAAUAAAAUAAAAAAAUAAAAAUAUUUUUAUAAUAUUAAAUUGUCAAAAACGCGCCUACUAGUUGUCCUAUAUUUUAUGCUAGGAGAAUUAUGGAAUACUAUGAAAGCAUGAUCACAAAGGUCAUGGACAAGUUGCAAACAUGGAAAGGUAAACUUUUAUCUAUGGGAGGAAUGGCAGUUCUGAUUGCCAAUGUUCUGCAGAGCAUGCCUAUGCAUUUACUAUCUGCAGUCAACCCUCCAAAAUCUGUUAUAAAUAAGUUGCACAAAAUCUUUGCCCAGUUUUUUUGGAGCAGUUCAAUAGGGUAUAACAAUAGACAUUGUGCAUUAUGGAAUGCUUUGUGCAUGCAGUUGAAGAAGGGGGAAUUGGUUUCAGAUCAUUAUAUGAUGUGUCAAAGGCUCUGCUUUCUAAAUUAUGGUGGAAUUAUAGAACUAAACCAACUUUGUGGAGCUCAUUUAUGUGUCAAAAAUACUGCAAGAAGCUGAAUUCAGUUAUAGUACCAUGGAGAAGAGGAUCACAUAUUUGGAGAAAAAUGCUUGAAUGUAGGGAUUUGAUAGAAUAUCAAAUAGCUUGGCAGCCUAAGAUGAGUUCUUCUUUGUUUUGGUUCAACAACUGAACAAGACUAGGGGCUUUAUACUUCAUGGUUCCUCAUGACUUUAGGAUAGAUGAUUCAGUGCACAAUGUAUUUGAUGUGGUGGAACAAGGGACUUGGGAAGUGGACAGAUUACUGGAGCUAUUACCUGAAGAAUAUGCAAUGCAAAUCGUAGAUAAUAUCAAACCCCCUCAAUCGCAGAAUGAACUAGAUAAACCUUACUGGAAGCUAGAGACUAGGGGGUACUUCAGUGUCAAAACAUCAUGGGAAUAUAUUAGAAGAAAGAAUGAACCAAGGUUUUCAUACAGGAUGAUUUGGGUAAAGGGAUUGCCUUUCAAAAUAGCAUUUUUUAUGUGGAAGGUGUGGAAAGAAAAACUGCGAUUGGAUGAUUUCAUGAGAAGACAUGGAUAUUUGAUGGCCUCGAAGUGCUGGUGUUGUACAAAUCUAGAGGAAGAAACAUUAUGGCACCUUUUUUUAAAUCUACUGCAGCAACAUUUUUUUGGAGAUAUUUCUUAACAAGGGCUGGUAUUAGAAUGGAAGGUUUGUCUUUGCAUCAAGCUAUCACUAAGUGCUGGACAGUAAUGUAUGUCAUAGACCCAAGCCUAUUAUGCAAACGCUUCCCUCUUGCAUUGUUUGGGAGUUAUGGAAUAGGAGAAAUAACAUGAAAUAUGGGGAAGUUGUGUCAGUCAGUAGAGUGAUCUAUCAAGUUUCAACUACUCUUCAAUCCCUAGUGAGAGUAAGGAAGCCAGGAAUAGUCCAUGUUCCUCAUAAAUAGCAUGAGCUGUUAACUAUGAUGGAGAAUUAUACUCCUAGGUUGAAGGUGAAAAAAGUGAUAUGGACAUUCCCAGAAGAAGGAUGGCUUAAGGUGAAUACAGAUGGUGCAUCGAGGGGGAAUCCAGGAAGGAGUGCUAUUGGAUAUUGCAUAAGGGAUGAGAAGGGAGAUAUUGUCUAUACAGUAGGGAAGGAAAUCAAAGAAACCACCAACAUAGAGGCAGAAACAGUGGCUAUUGUAGAAGUACUGAGAUAUUGUAGAAUGUAACAGUAUUUACAAGUAAACAUCCAAACAGACUCAAUGCUAUUGAAGAAAGUUAUGGAGGGAGUAUAGAAACCACCUUGGUGCAUAACUGAGCAUGUGGAGGAGAUUAUAUAGUUGCUUAAUGGGGAAAAUUAUGUGGUAUCUUAUAUCUUUAGGCAAGGUAAUAAACUGGUAGACCAUCUUGCUAAUUAUGCCUUAGAUGCUGGGGACUUUGAAUGCCAAGAAUUUGGGCAAUUGGAUGUACAAGGGAGGAGAAUAGUGAAUGAAGAUAAGCUACAAUGUAUCAGUACAAGUAUAUAUUGAAGGGGACUCACAUAUGAGCACAAGUAUAGCAACAAGACUAGGAAGGGCCAGCUCUUAUGCGCAGAUUGAUCAAAUAAAUCACUGUGCAUACACCUGGAGUUGGCGAAGAUUUAUGGGUAAAGUAGCUGUAUUUUGGAACAAAAGCCAAACACAACUCUGCACUGCAACAGCCCAGGGAUCAAAUCAAGCAAAUGGUUAAGGCAAAAACACAGAGGUCAAUUUCGUAAUGAGCCUCAAUACAUCAUGGUUGUGCAGUCCUGGAAGUGACAAUUCACAUGGUAACCUGAGAGGUACUUAGCGGAGAAGUUGGAGACAUACUAGGGCAGUAAUUACACACAGUAUCAUAGAAGGCCACUAAAGGAAGGAAUUCAGAGAAGGAGAACAUCAAAAAACAUGAAGAGGACAUCCAAAACUGAGAACAAAAAGGAAGCAAGCGAGCAAUUAAUGACAUAGAUUGAUCAGUGGUACAUUUGCAGACGUUACAUGGAACAAGCUGUAGAUUUUUUGAAUAGUUGGGAAAAAAUAUUGAUACUAAAACAUCAAGGAAAGGAAAUUCUCAACUACAUCGUACAGACAGUGAUGCCAAUACACGAAGACAAGGGAGAUUUUAUGCACCAUUUAUUUAGUAUAGUUAGUAUUCAUUUUGUGAUAUCAUUGUUGAGACCACAACUCAACAUUGAUAAUAGAACGUAUGUAGCUUUCAAAUUUAUGCUUUUCUUUGUACUAGACCGCCUGACAAAACAUUUUGUUUAGUGGAUUUUAAAAAAAACUAGUUGCCUAGCGUUAAAAAAGAAUUAAGAAGUGCUUAAACUCCUUUUUUAUUACUUAUUCGACAAAAAUGAUAUUAUAAAAAUUAUUUUUUAACUAAUGCAAGACAUUAAAUCUAGGUAAGUUUAUGCUAAACUUUUAUGGUAUUGGGCCACUUAUUUUAUCUAACAAAAGACAAACUGUCGAUUUUAAAGAAAAGCUCAACUUACUUUCUAUUGUCAUUAUACCACAGAUUUUAGCUUAUUUGACCCAUGUUGCUUAAACUAAGUAAACUUGACAGAAUAAAAUUUCAAUCACAUACAUCAAGAAGAAAAGAUAAUUUAACUAAUUUCUAAAAGAUUUACCUGAUGAUAAUACUAAUAUAACAUUCAUCUUGAAAUAAAAUCAGAUCUAACAUGUUCCAUCAACCCAAACCAAAUCAAAUCCUUCUUAUUAUCAUCAAGAAUCUGCAAUAUAAGAAUUUGAAAGUUACCUGGUUUGUAGAAUAGUAAUAUACAGCAGUGCAGCAACAAAAAUAUAGCAACAAAUACAGCAGAAACAAUAGAAACUCAAGUGUUAAGACAACCCGAAAACCUUACAGAAAGACCCAGAACCAACUCUAAAGAAGAUUUAUAAUUUUCUAAAAGUUUGCGCUCUAAGAUUCACUCACAAAGCUUACAAUUUUAGCUUGCUAUCUUUAUGUUCAGUUGCUAAUUUUUCUCUCAAAGUUUUUUUGUCUGUCUAGAUCUCUUGUCUGUAUUAGAGUAAAAAAAUGUGUCUCCUUUAUAUAUCAAAACAACCAACUAUUUCAAAAAUUAAAAAUCAAUCUUUUUGACAGAUUUUUCUACAAAAUCUGCUCUUAAAUUCAAAAAGAAAGACUUUCUAGUUCAAAUCUUGUCAAGUAUUUCAAACAAAAUCUGCUCUUCACUAUUCAAAGACACACUUUUAGUCAAACACUGUCCAAAAGUCUAUUUUCUUACCAAACAAUUUGACUUUUGAUUGUUGUACUCAAAGAGUCUUGAAGCAGUAAAUAAACAACCAAACAAGUACCAUAUACUCUUAAGUAUUCUUCACUACCUCACUUUUAUCAAUACAAAACUAUUUUACUACUUCAACAAGUGCAAAAACAGAAAAUUUAACAUUUCAAACUUCAAAAACUAAUGCUAAAAUAAUUAAUAAUAGACAAAAUAAAAUCUGAAAAAUAAAAAAUCAGCCACGAAAAAGAAUAGGAUUUUUACCAUUUUAGAAUUCAAGUGGUCGAAAAAAUGGUAGUAUGCCAAAAGAGGGUGUUCGUGGAGGUCGCCGAAAUUUGGUAGCCAAAUUUUGGGGUAGAAUUGACAUCAAUAGGUAGGUCUUGAGGAGCUCUAUCCAUUGAUGUAGGUAUUGUGGGGUGGUAGUGGUUAGAGCUUCAAGAAUUUGGGCAAAAAAGUGACGGAUAAAAUUUCAUAGAUCUAAGAUUCAAGGAGUUUGAGGGGUUUUUGAAGGAUUUGGUUUGGAGAUAUGAAAAGAGGAGGUUGUGGAGAUUACAUGGCGUGAAUUUGGAGGUGGUCCGCCGUCGGUGGGUGAUUUUCGGCGACGGCGUAGAGGUGGCAAAGAGAGAGUGAAGGGAGAGAGAAGAGAGAGGAAGGAGAAAAGAAUUAUGGGU
Molecule: long non-coding RNA, 6223 nt
Filed under: Nicotiana tabacum (common tobacco)
Lineage: Eukaryota; Viridiplantae; Streptophyta; Magnoliopsida; Solanales; Solanaceae
Description: long non-coding RNA (NTAB_LNC008034)
Source: RNAcentral